UGACUGUGGAAAUGAAUAAAUUCCAAACAAUGACUAUCAUCAGUGCAGGAACACCCAUGCAUUUGAUGUAUAGCCAGGAAAUCUAAAGGAACAUCUACAAUGAGAGGGAAGCACAACUGCAUGAAGGCUGCAGUUGUAACCCUGUCUACUUAGAGAUUCUAGAGCUGCCCUCUGGAACAACAGAGAACAAGCUGGCUACAUCUUCUAUAUGACAGCAGCCCUUCAGAUAUUUGAAGGUUGCUAUCUUGUCUCCCCUUCAUUUUCUCUUCUCCGUUCAUAGAUUUUAUGUUGGGGUUACAUUCCAGGCCCCCAUGUGCAUAAUUGAAAUGCACGUAAGUGAGGAGCUCCCUGCAGUACAUAUAGCUUCCUGUCCAACAGCUGUUGUACAGGGUAGCAUGGCAGCAAGAACUCCUGCAUGCCAUUUUGUAGCUGUUGGAGUCUCUUUUUUCUGGAUGUUUGGCUCACUGAUGUCCUCUUCAGGCUCUUCAGACGGGUCUCCUUACGAGCCACAAUGUACUUUCCAGCUCUCUCCCACCAUUUCUGGUUAGAAUUUUUUUCAUUUUUAAUUAUGUCCAAGCACCGCACGUAUACAUGGUCACGUGCGAGCUGAUGACAUGUAAGUGUGGGGAUGCCUGUACUCUCAUUUUUAAAUGCACAAUUUGUGUUCAUGUAGGCUGUGUAUUUUUCCUUUUCUCUCUGCUGUGCCUGUCUUUAGAAUCCUGUGCUGCAUAUAAAAUUGUGUAUAUUACCCCCAAAACUGCACCAAUUUCAAGAGGACUUAAAAAAUAACAAUUGGCAAACUGAUAAGAAAAUGUGAGGAACUAAGAUAAAGGUUGGAAAAAUGAGAAAGUGGGAGAAACCAGAAUUAACUGAUUUGCCAAUCUCUGUCCAAGGGGAAGGCCUGAGCUCAACAGCUGAGCAUCAGUUUCCCACGCAGAAGGUCCCAGGUUCAGUUCUUGGCAUCUCCAGGUGAGACUGUGAAUGUCCCCCAUCUGGACCCCUGGAGAGCUGCUGCCUGUCAGUGGGACAAUGCUGAGCUAGAGGAAUUGAUUGUCAGACUUAAAUAUAAGGCAGCUCCCUAUGUUUCCAAAGCAGCACCUUGUCAGCCUGCCAGCACUCUCUGACUUAUCCAGAUCCAAGGCUUUGCAGCUGGCGCAUAUUUUAAUGCCAAAUGACUGGCACCAUUGAUGUUGGAACACAUAGUCUCUUGGUGCCCACACUGCUUGCACAUUCAUUUCAGUAUGUCGCACUGUGUAACUACUUUUUGCUGUUGUUGCAACUUAA
Molecule: non-coding RNA, 1284 nt
Organism: Podarcis muralis (Common wall lizard)
Lineage: Eukaryota; Metazoa; Chordata; Lepidosauria; Squamata; Lacertidae
Source: RefSeq, a predicted model, not a curated record